AAAACAUAGGAGUACCAAAGAAAAAUCAAAACAAAAAAUAAAACUCCCUAUCGUUGUUCUUCCUCUUGUGUUUUUUCUACUGCCAUUGUUAGAGCUUCUCUUAUAGUUUUUCUACUGUUCUUCAUCCCAAAACACGAAUUUGCUAAUUUACAUGAUGAUUUUCUGCUGCUCGUCUCUCUCCUCUUAUUUCUGGUGUCUCUGCUCAUCUCUCCUCUCUUCUCUUACAUCUUCGCGGCCUUGCAUUACUGUUCCUGCUAGUUCUCCUUCUCUAACGAGCGAAAUUAUAUGCUUGCUCUUUCUACCAAGGAAAGGAUGCAUAAUUUGGGGGCUUAGCUGAAGAAGAUGAUAGCAGCUAGUAGCAGAGUUCAUCAGAAGAGAGAAGCACAGCGUUAUUAUUUUGGUGAGUUGGGAUUAUUUUGAAAGAGGAGCGUUUUUAAGAUUUGAAGAAUCAAAGUUUUCCCCAGAAAAUCGAAUUCCAGAGGGUGAGCACAUAUUGAGAAUCAUCAUCUAUCAUCAUCAUCUACGGCGGCGGUGGCGGCCAGGUAGGAAGUAGGAAGGAUGGGAAAGAAAAAGGUGAGAAGAAGAGGAUGCAAAAAGGGGAAAAAAAAUAUUGGUGCAGGCGGCAUUUGGGCACGCUAGUGAAUUUUACACUAUAGAGUUGGAGACGGAAAAGGUGACGAAAUUGCCAAUUGGGGGGUUAGGCAAGGAGGCAAUUUUGACCUCCUUGGUGACUUUGCAUUUUGUGAUCUACGUCAUCGGCCUUGAUCGAUCAAAUCUUCCGGAAGAACCAUAUAUUCACCGCGGCGUAUCAUACGUAGAUUUGAGUUUGAGUGAGCAAGGAGAUAGAAAAACCGAUGCAGAUGCAGAAGAAGAAAGGUCUUUUGAAUGGAAGGCAGCUCCUCCUAGUCUUGUGAAUCGUCCUCGCAUUUGGUGGCCUCGCGGCGUUGCCAUGUGUGGGAAGAUCUAUGUGUUUACUGGUAAAGUACAAAAAGUGGAGGUGUUUGAUCCGAAGCUGAAUCAAUGGAGUCUCCUCUCUCCCCCUCGUGGUUUUAAAGAUUUUUCUAAACUUCAAAGGCCAACCCUCGCUGAUCACUCCAACAACCGCCUCCUUGUUUCUCUCCGAGAAGGAGACGCCACCUCCUCCUCCUCGCAGCUACUCUACGCUUACUACCCACAUCGCGGCUGGAAACUUCUGCUCCCUGACUUUUACACCUCCUCCUCCUGUAUUCGGGUCGUUCAAUCGGGGGUCGUCUUCUGCUACUCUCCUGUCGAAGGAAACCAUCACAUAUUUGAUGCCUUUGAUGUCGACUCGAAACAAUCCAGGAAGUUGAACAUUACCUACACCUCCAACGUUGACUCCGAUCUCUGGUGCUUUGACUUUGAUGAGUUGCUUAAUCUCGGCAAAGGAAUCUUGUGCUUGGUUGGUUCUGGCUGUAACUUCUCUUGCGAUCAGACCUUUAUCUUCGCCAUCCAAUUCAAAGUCAAACGCACCACUCCGACUGACCUUCUCAUCACUCCAUUCCCUGGCAAAUUCAUUUCUCUACAAGAGUAUUGCUAUCCUCUUCACUAUUCUACUUUUUAGGUAAUUUACUAAUUUUAUUUGUGUCAAGUUGUCAUCUUUAUUUGUAUUUUUUGGAGUUUUAGCUGAUGAUCAUAUAUGUUGCUGAAUAUUUCUGUCUGUGCUUGGCUGAUGUUUGUUUAUGAACUAGUUAGUACCGCGGGCGAUGCCCCGGAUAGUAGAAAAAUGAAUUAAUUAGAUUAUUAUAUAACUCGUUUUGAGUCUAAUUUAAUUUGUUACAUUAUAAUAUAUCUUGCUUAUAAUUUAAUGAAUUUUUACAUGUAAGAAUUACUAACUCGUAAAAGUAAUGACUAAUUAGUGAUAUGAUCGAGACUAUUAAUAAAUGAUUCAUAUCAUUUUUCUCAUUAUAUGGACUUAAUAUAAUUGUGCACGUACAAAAAACAACAAAAUAAAUUGUGGUGUAGUGGUUAAAAUAUGUGACUAACAAAUGAGAGGUCACAGGUUCAAAACCUUAUAACAACAUUUUUUCAUGAUCAAGAAAAUAAUAUGAGAUGCAUGACAUGUCAAAGAUGACGAUGCGUCAUGUCAUCGAUAAUAGGAAGCGACAUGUGGCGAAAUGACAUUCCUUGCCUUGGAGUUUUAAUAAUAGUAUAGAUAUGAUGCUACAUUUUUCAAAAAAAAAACAGGACAGGACAAUAAGUUGAAGAUUCAACCAUUGUUGGUAGGGCUUGGGUUUAGUGUGUGAGGAAGAGAGUAUUAAUUGAAGGAGUAUUUCUUGAUCAUUUUAUACUGUAAAACUUACCAUAUAUGUGUUACCAAUUGUGUGAAUGAAGGGAUCAUAUCAUAUCAUAUCAUAAGAAGCCUAUUGCUGAAAUACAAAGUAUCUAAGUAAUUACACAUAAGUAAGUUUGGUUACAUAAUCAGACCUAGUAGUAGUAUUACAUUCUUGGAAUGCACUUGGUAAUUCUCAAAUCGAGUUGUAAGAUUUUAAUGAAAGUCUUUAAUCACUCGACACUCGUUUGUCUCAAUCUCUCAUGAUUAUUGGAAAAUUCAGUCUGACUUUAUGACCUUACAAGUUACCAGAUCGAAUUGCAUGUUUUUUGUCAUAUUCUUGCUAAUGGUCAGUGUUAAUUUUGAAUCCUCAACUCUGUAUUGUGUUUUUUUGCUAAGUUUGAUAUUCAGUAUCAACAUUCCUUAAUUAUUUUAUUUAUGUGCUUCACUUACCUUCAUCCGGAAAUAGUAGUUAUGUAUAUUAUUUUGCCCUGUUCUGUUCACCUUAUUUCCACUUAUUUCAGGAAAAAUAAGUUCAGAAGUUCAGUUAAGUUCAGAUAAGAUAAUUUCAGGAAAAAUAAGGGUUGACCAAGUACAAUUUAUAACUAAAAUAAGUUCUAAUAAGUUAAGUUAAGUUCAGAUAAGAUAAGUUCAGAAGAAAUAAGUGGAAAUCAGGUGAAUAGAACGCAAUUUCCAUGUGCUUCAAUAUGGCUUUGGUGAGUGACUGAGUGGUGGGUGGGUAUGGAUAAUGAAAACUAAAAUCCGCCAUGGGUAGUUGGAUAGGUGGUGUAUUUUUAGACGAACCCGACCCAUAUCCAUCCGCCCCGUCCCAUAGCCACCGACAUCCAUCUGCCCUUCUCCAUAUCCUCCCACACUCCCACCCCCACCCCUCUUUAGUACCCACCUAUUUUUUUAAAAUUUAAAUUUUCCACUUAGGUUUUCAAGUUUGUACAUUAUACUACAUGAUGGGCCUUUACUAUGGGACUAAUUAGGUAAAUACAAAUUUUUAUGUAAGACGGUCUUGGUGUCAUUUAAGUUAAGCAAUGAAAUCAAUUAGUUAAGCACCGAAACUAAUUAGUUAAACACCGAAACUAAUUAGUUAAGCACCGGAAACAAUUAGUUAAACACUUAAACUAAUUAGUUAAGCAAUGAAACCAAUUAGUUAAGCAAUCAAAGUGGUCUUUCCGGUAAGGCGGUCUUACACAAAAGUUUCCGUUAAGUAAAACUCUAAUGUUUUCACAUGUUGUGGUAUUUUUACAAUUACAAAAAUUUUUGCGGAAGUUGAUGUGGAGGAGGGAAUGGAUAGAGGAUUAUCCAAUUGGACAAUGGGUGGAUGUAGGUGGGUAAUGGAUAUCCACGUGGGCGGUGAAGUGGGUGUAGAUUUCAGGUUAUAGCUACGUCGGUGGGGAUGGAUUUGGAAUAUGUAUCCGCCAUGGGUGGUGGGUAGGUGGUCGGUAUGAGAAAUUUAGGCGGAGGUGGAUGUGGAGGAGGGGGUAUAUGCACUCGCCCCACCCCAUUGUCAUCUCUAGUGGUUUCCUCUUGAUGAUUGUUGUAAGCUAUGUUACUCGGACUCUUUGUUUUACCUCAAGUACCCGUGUCGGAUCCUCGACACUUGGACACUCCGACACUUCAUUUUGGUCUUAAAUUAAGGAAAAUUUCCACAAUUUAGCCAUGUCGGACAUUUGGACACGUACCUGUAUCCGACACUCGUACCCGAGUCUGAGUAACAUAGGUUGAAAGAUUAUUGAUAUGUAGACAAAAACUAUGUGUAACUAAAGAGAUUGAUAUUCUAUUUUAUUAAUUGAUUUUAUAUACUUUAUGAGGAGAUGACUAUCUUAUGUGAUUACGAGCUUAAAUUUUUAGUAACUUUCUGCCAAAACUUGUUUUACAGCUGAAGUUUGCGUUUGUGUGGUCAGAGAGGAUGGGCUGAAGUAUGAAUGUAAUUUGCUGAAUUAUGUUACUAAACUACCUUGACUCAAAUUAUGUUACUGAAUUAUGUUACUAUUUAUUAUUUGCUGAAUUAUGUUUGGAUUAUCUUAUGUACUCGUGUUUUAUAAAUUGUCUGUACUCUUGAUAAUUUAUUUCCUUGUCAUUUAAUCAUAUGGACUUUAUUAUCUGGUUGAAGGACAUGUAAAUGAUGCAAUGUUUUGGCCACAACACUUCAUGUUUUAUGUUUAUGGCUAGGUUGGCUAACAAAUUUGGUUGACGAGCGAUUUCCUAUGUCGAUUCAUGUUAGCGUAAGGCUUUGUUGAAUUGUUGUUAAGGUUGACAGUAAUCAUGUUUUUAAUCCUAGCACUUCUAAAGUCUCAUACUUUAGUUACUAUUCACACAAUAGUUAAAUGUCUGUUAUAACCUCAAAAUCUUUCAUAUGUUUUUUUGUCAUUUUCCUUAUCAAUAGAGUGAUUACGUUUUUAGCCCCCGGACUCCCUACGCUGCCGCUGUUCUUCGCCUCUCUGGACCCGGGUUAGGUUUCACUUUCUUGCUACCUUUCCUCUCCUCUCAAAUGGCUCUGGUACUUCUCCUCCCCUCUCCUACUUCUCUUCUUCAAUUUGUCCUACUAAUUUCUCUUCUUUGAUAACCUGUUUUUUAGGAAAUCUCCCAUUGCGUUUGUUUUGAAGGGCUCCAUUUAACCCCGAUCUGACAGCUCUCCAUCGCCGGUUUUAGCAACUCUCGCUCUCUCCUCUUUUUCCAAAGUUUCAAUAUUUUCAGUUUCUAUUUGAUUAAUGCCAUUUCUAACUAUGGGUUUACCAAAAAAUGAAAAAUUUAGGUAUAUACCAGUUGAAGGUUCAUCUGCUAUUUCCAAAGACGAUAGCUGCAACUCUUGCAAGUCGAAGAAUUGGAUAGCGCCAUAGCGGUUCAUCAGGCGAUAAUGGAGAUUAAAGAUGUUCCUCCAGUCAAGGUGGACAUACAGCUGGUGAUGCAGGUAUAUAUAUGGGCAAUUAUAUUCUAUGGAGUUCUCUUACGAAGUGCUUGCAAAAGCGGCAGAUGAUUUCAACAGCAGCUAUAGGAUUGCUACAGAAAGAGGAGCGUUUUUAAGAUUUGAAGAAUCAAAGUUUUCCCCAGAAAAUCGAAUUCCAGAGGGUGAGCACAUAUUGAGAAUCAUCAUCUAUCAUCAUCAUCUACGGCGGCGGUGGCGGCCAGGUAGGAAGUAGGAAGGAUGGGAAAGAAAAAGGUGAGAAGAAGAGGAUGCAAAAAGGGGAAAAAAAAUAUUGGUGCAGGCGGCAUUUGGGCACGCUAGUGAAUUUUACACUAUAGAGUUGGAGACGGAAAAGGUGACGAAAUUGCCAAUUGGGGGGUUAGGCAAGGAGGCAAUUUUGACCUCCUUGGUGACUUUGCAUUUUGUGAUCUACGUCAUCGGCCUUGAUCGAUCAAAUCUUCCGGAAGAACCAUAUAUUCACCGCGGCGUAUCAUACGUAGAUUUGAGUUUGAGUGAGCAAGGAGAUAGAAAAACCGAUGCAGAUGCAGAAGAAGAAAGGUCUUUUGAAUGGAAGGCAGCUCCUCCUAGUCUUGUGAAUCGUCCUCGCAUUUGGUGGCCUCGCGGCGUUGCCAUGUGUGGGAAGAUCUAUGUGUUUACUGGUAAAGUACAAAAAGUGGAGGUGUUUGAUCCGAAGCUGAAUCAAUGGAGUCUCCUCUCUCCCCCUCGUGGUUUUAAAGAUUUUUCUAAACUUCAAAGGCCAACCCUCGCUGAUCACUCCAACAACCGCCUCCUUGUUUCUCUCCGAGAAGGAGACGCCACCUCCUCCUCCUCGCAGCUACUCUACGCUUACUACCCACAUCGCGGCUGGAAACUUCUGCUCCCUGACUUUUACACCUCCUCCUCCUGUAUUCGGGUCGUUCAAUCGGGGGUCGUCUUCUGCUACUCUCCUGUCGAAGGAAACCAUCACAUAUUUGAUGCCUUUGAUGUCGACUCGAAACAAUCCAGGAAGUUGAACAUUACCUACACCUCCAACGUUGACUCCGAUCUCUGGUGCUUUGACUUUGAUGAGUUGCUUAAUCUCGGCAAAGGAAUCUUGUGCUUGGUUGGUUCUGGCUGUAACUUCUCUUGCGAUCAGACCUUUAUCUUCGCCAUCCAAUUCAAAGUCAAACGCACCACUCCGACUGACCUUCUCAUCACUCCAUUCCCUGGCAAAUUCAUUUCUCUACAAGAGUAUUGCUAUCCUCUUCACUAUUCUACUUUUUAGCUGAAGUUUGCGUUUGCUGUGGUCAGAGAGGAUGGGCUGAAGUAUGAAUGUAAUUUGCUGAAUUAUGUUACUAAACUACCUUGACUCAAAUUAUGUUACUGAAUUAUGUUACUAUUUAUUAUUUGCUGAAUUAUGUUUGGAUUAUCUUAUGUACUCGUGUUUUAUAAAUUGUCUGUACUCUUGAUAAUUUAUUUCCUUGUCAUUUAAUCAUAUGGACUUUAUUAUCUGGUUGAAGGACAUGUAAAUGAUGCAAUGUUUUGGCCACAACACUUCAUGUUUUAUGUUUAUGGCUAGGUUGGCUAACAAAUUUGGUUGACGAGCGAUUUCCUAUGUCGAUUCAUGUUAGCGUAAGGCUUUGUUGAAUUGUUGUUAAGGUUGACAGUAAUCAUGUUUUUAAUCCUAGCACUUCUAAAGUCUCAUACUUUAGUUACUAUUCACACAAUAGUUAAAUGUCUGUUAUAACCUCAAAAUCUUUCAUAUGUUUUUUUGUCAUUUUCCUUAUCAAUAGAGUGAUUACGUUUUUAGCCCCCGGACUCCCUACGCUGCCGCUGUUCUUCGCCUCUCUGGACCCGGGUUAGGUUUCACUUUCUUGCUACCUUUCCUCUCCUCUCAAAUGGCUCUGGUACUUCUCCUCCCCUCUCCUACUUCUCUUCUUCAAUUUGUCCUACUAAUUUCUCUUCUUUGAUAACCUGUUUUUUAGGAAAUCUCCCAUUGCGUUUGUUUUGAAGGGCUCCAUUUAACCCCGAUCUGACAGCUCUCCAUCGCCGGUUUUAGCAACUCUCGCUCUCUCCUCUUUUUCCAAAGUUUCAAUAUUUUCAGUUUCUAUUUGAUUAAUGCCAUUUCUAACUAUGGGUUUACCAAAAAAUGAAAAAUUUAGGUAUAUACCAGUUGAAGGUUCAUCUGCUAUUUCCAAAGACGAUAGCUGCAACUCUUGCAAGUCGAAGAAUUGGAUAGCGCCAUAGCGGUUCAUCAGGCGAUAAUGGAGAUUAAAGAUGUUCCUCCAGUCAAGGUGGACAUACAGCUGGUGAUGCAGGUAUAUAUAUGGGCAAUUAUAUUCUAUGGAGUUCUCUUACGAAGUGCUUGCAAAAGCGGCAGAUGAUUUCAAAAGCGGCAAGAUGAUCAUAAGGCUGAUGAAGUGAAUUGCCUGCAUGGCCUGCUAGAUUGACUUCUUCGUCUCCCCGACUUGCUGAUUUUGGCUAUUCAAAUUAUAUGUUUGAAAAAGAUAUGUUAUGUGAAACAACCCUAUCUCACCUUGCUUCAUAAUUGUUACUCAUUACUUGACAUAAGACAGUGAUUGGGAGCAAACUGAAUAACAAUUAUUUAUUCCUGUGUAAUGAAUGUUGUUCCAGAAGAUGGACCAAACGCACUUAAGGUGGUAUAUGAUCGUGGUCUUAUUGGUGAGGCUCACAACUGGUAAGCAAGUUUGUUAAUGUUUAACUUGAAAUGCUGCUGGGGAUGGCUUUAUGAUCUUAUAAAAUUAGCUAGGCAUAGUAAGCUGGAAGCAGACCAUUUGCAGAAUACUUGCUGCUUUGCGAUAAAGCAGUUAUUCAUUAUCUGGAUGCAGGUCACAAAGAAUGAUUUGUGGUCUCUUGUUCCAGAGGAAACUACCACUUGGUUGGGGAGAGAGAGAGAUAGAGGUGGUAAAGAUUGCCCGUAUGGCUAUCUUUCUUUUUUAAUAUCUGUUGCCUACUUGGCAAUCUUGUGACUGAAAAAGGAUUUCCGUCAAUUCGUGAUUGUAGUUGUUUCACUUGUGUAGACCCUUUACCAUAUGUUCAUUGUUAGAAGUGGCUAUAACUUUAGUUGUUUCACUUGUACAGACCCUUUACCAUAUGUUCAUUGUUAUGCUGAUCCAAAAACCGCAUUCAGGCUUCUAUAGAGCACUCUAAAGUUUUUCAUUAAUCCAAAAACCGCAUCCAAAAUUUAUGUAUGAAGAAUUUACAGCUUUCUUUAGUCAACUUCUUUCCUUAUAUAAGAUUAAUAUAUUGAUUGUAUAGACGGGAAUCUAUUUUCGUAGCUACGUUCUUGGAGAUGAGGCGCCUGCCCUUAAUUAGUUCUGACAAAAACACUUGUUGAAUUCAUGGUGAAGAGGUAACUGCUUCUUUCUUGAUGAGUCGGUCUCUCCCAUAUUUGCCAAGUUUAUCUUUUGUAUCAAUAUAACUCAAGCAUACUAUGACAUAUAAUCAACGACAAUCAUUCAUGAAUUAAUCGUUUGUUUUCUCUAGAAAAGGGUGUUUGACUUCCUUAAUAUUUAAAGUUGUAUUGGAAAAUCAAUUGUUUGUUUUCAUGUUAUGAUGGAAUAUGAGGUUCUGGGCUUCAAAUUUUAUUUAUUUGUAAGCAGUUAUAUUUCAUUGCUUCCUUAUGACACUUUUGCAAACAUCUAAUAUAGCCAUUAAUAAGAGAUGCAGGGAGAUUGGUUCGUAGCAUUUGUUUGGUAUCCGAGAGUCAUCAAUAUAGUCAUACUAGAACCCCUAACGUUCUUUUGUGCAUUUUAAUGUUUCUCAAACGUUCAGAAUUGAUCCAUAUUUUCGCAGCCUGAUUUUGUAUCCGUUUGUGUUUCCCUUUCUGAUCUAUAUAUACAAGCAAGCUAGGUGAUUAAUUCAUCCAAUUAAGCGAUUUAGCAUGAAAAUUAUUGUUUUCAUCUUUGAUAAGAUGUGUGAUUUAUAUCACUGUAAUGUCUUCAGAACAGGUGAAAGUUCUUGCUCUGACCGAUCACAGUGUUUGGUAUCCCUGAGGCUGUAGAUUUGGUAUUAAGAUUAUUCCAGGUAUUGAGAUCAAUACUAUUUUCUCUACAAGGCAAGUACUUGCUAAUAAUAAAUGCUAGCUGGAAAUCUUGUAAUAAUUUUUCAACAUUGUUAUGAUUAAGAAACUACUGUUGCAGUCAUCCCUUGGAAUGAAUAGCGUAGUACGGAGUAUACUAUCUAUGUUAAUUACAUUGCUAUUUAAAAGAACACGUAUUUAAGUAAAAAUGGUAGGCGUAUAACCUUAUGACACAACAACAUUGAUUUGGUUAAUUGCAAAUUCGAUCACAAAGUUAAAGGGGCAUACAGAUUUGAUUUCAUGUGGUGAGUUCUCUCCGUUCAUCCGUUGUGCAAGAAAACAGGAGCAUCUUCUGUACAAACCAACUUUUGUUGCCUGUCAGGUUAAUCAAUUUCAAUUUAUUCCUUUCGUUGUAGCAGUACAAAUGUUAAACAUCAUUGCACUUUCAUUUAUACACCUUACAAUUCUUUGCAUAUUCAUUCCAAUUUAAUGUCAUGCAUUCUUGAUAGGUGUUUAGGUGCAUAAGUCCACAAAAUGCUAAGUACCACGACAUGUAUUCAUUGUCUGGUGUUUAUGCUCUGCUGAUAUAAAAAAUAUGUAGGUUAUGAUAAUUAUGUUAAAUAUGUUUCUGUUUUAAACCAAGGUAACAAGUUCCAAAGGCAAUACUCAUUUAUUUUGACUGUCACCCUGCCCCGACUCCCCCUUUCUGAAAGAGCCAUUAUAUGUUUUUUACUGUAUCUAUGUUGAAACUUUUUGGUUGAUGAUAUCUUUUAUCAUUCGUUUAAUUGUUGAAAUAGUUAUUGUAAGCGUAUAGUUUUAAGAAACGUUAGGUUUACUUUUGUAAUUUUGAGUGGUUAUUGAGGUUGAGAUUCAAGUUCUAUUAUUUUUGAAUUUUGAAAUAUUAUUUUGCUAUCUGAGAUCUUCGUGUUAUUUCUCUACUAAAUUACACCAAUUAAUUUGAGUUCAUACAUUUUAUUUAGGCUUUCUAUGAAGAAAGGUGCCUCCGCUAAGAAGGGAAAAUCCAGCAAAGGAGCCUAACAAGCCAAAGAGGCCCUCAAGUGUCGUCUUUGUCUUCAUCUAUAACUCCAAUUCUUGUCAAUGUUUUAGCUUUUUUUUGCCGGCCAAUUAUUGAAAAUAUGCAGGUAUAACUUUGAUUUGUUGUUGAUAAGUUAUAGGAAGGAGUUUAUAGUGACAUACAAGAACUCUGAAUCUUACUCCGUACGGUACAAUUUGGAAAUAUACCAUUUUCACCCACGAUUGCUGGAAAUUCUCAACUAAUCUUUGCUUUAUCAGUUUGAGAUGAUGAUUAUAUGUUACAUGCUGGGAUAGUAAUAGUUACAUCAUGGGUGGUAUUGUGGUUACACUUUUUGCUUCUUGAUUUUACUCAAAUUUGAGUACUUAUGGAUAAAAUAAUGUGAUUAACCUUGUGUUACAUGAAUAGGGUACAAGUGUACAACCCCGACUUUGAUUAAGGUUGCAGGUGCCAUGGUCUGUUAGAAAAUGGAGUCUCUCUGACAAUGACCGUGUUUUGAAGACUAUGGAAGAGCAAUGGAUCUCUUGGUCUUUAGUUUGAGUGAGGGUGUGAGUUUUAUAGCUGGGUUGUUAGACAAUGUGAACUUGAAUAGCUACAAUUCUAAUGUGUGUGAACCAACAUAAUUCUUGUAUAAUUUGGUAAUCUGUGAUUAUAGUAAUGAUCUUUUGAAGCCUUGGAUAGCUAUAUAGGGUAGCAGAAACUAUAUUGCCUUCUCCAGUCUGAUACUUAGGAUCAUACUAUGAGCAUCAAGUAAAAGCUAAUAUUCUAAAUCAUUUUUGUUCA
Molecule: long non-coding RNA, 11044 nt
Organism: Spinacia oleracea (spinach)
Lineage: Eukaryota; Viridiplantae; Streptophyta; Magnoliopsida; Caryophyllales; Amaranthaceae
Exons: 12
Source: RefSeq, a predicted model, not a curated record